Molecule: long non-coding RNA, 722 nt
Organism: Canis lupus familiaris (dog)
Lineage: Eukaryota; Metazoa; Chordata; Mammalia; Carnivora; Canidae
Exons: 3
Source: RefSeq, a predicted model, not a curated record
AAUUCUUUAGUUUUUUCACUUUCAGGGAAGGCAGGAGGAGGGAAGAGCUACCUGUAGAUGACUCCAUGUUGGUGGAGGAACAUGAGGGCUGACGUAACCUCUGCAGCAUAGAACCGGGAACGAGGCUCAUCGAAUUUUCGGGAGCGCUGAAUCUGGAACAUGAGGUCUCCACCGUUUACAUACUCCAUGACGAAAAAGAGGCGGUCCUGAAAGGAGAGCAGAAAAUGCCAUUUAGCUUAGUUCAGUGGGCGAAGCCCAAAACCGACAGAAAGGAGACCUGGGUCUUUGAUCUCUGUGAUGACCUUGAAACGUGGCCUUGGGUGUCCUUAGAAGAGAAACGCAGGGGGAGACUUGAGAAGCAGGGAGAAGGCAACAAGGCCACAGAGGCGGAGACUGUGACAUGUCCACAAGCCAAAGAACAUGGCAGCUACCAGAAGCUGGAAGAGGGAAGGAUGGAUGGACUCUCCCCGAGGGCCUGAGGAGACAGCAGGAUCCAGGAGACACCUUGGUUUCGGCCCAGUGACAUGGGUCCCAGACUUCUGGCCUCUAGAACUAUGAGAGAAUAGAUUCACUUUGUUUUAAGCCCCCAGUGCGGGGGCGGACGCCUGGGUGGCUCAGCGGUUGGGCAUCUGCCUUUGGCUCAGGGCGUGAUCCUAGAGUUAUGGGAUCGAGUCCCACGUCGGGCUCCCUGCAUGGAGCCUGCUUCUCCCUCUGCCUGUGUC